UGUGUCUUUUAGAUAUAUGCAGAGAGAUUGAAAAUCAUUGUUUUGUUUGUGUACUUUUUUAUCCUAUCCUUUUUAUAUUAUGGAUCUGUUAGCCUUGUAAUAUCUUAAUAAUGUUUCUUCUUUUACAACCCCCCAAUAAAUAAAAAUCCUGGAAUUGUUUUAUAUGAAGUUGAUGCUGUUGCUACUAUAUCACAUAUUUAUUACUGUAUCUCAUUUUCUGCCAUCAUCUGAUUACUCAGUUAGAGAAUGGGCUUGUGGAGGCAGUUGCUGUUCUUAUUUCCAAAAUGCUCCGCCUAUGUCAUGAAUCUACCAAUGGAAAAUUAGGUGAACUCUUUAAAUCCAAGCCUGACUUCAUCAAGGUAAAGUUUGCAAUCCAAUACAUGCGAAGAGCAAUUCUAAAGCUUUUGGGUUGCACUGAAGAAAAUCUAGAAGGGAAAGGGUGCUGCCUAAUUGUUCUAUUCUCAUACUUGGAUUUUGGAUGAGAUGGAAUGAGUCUUAUAAUGACUUUAGUUAUCUACAUGUAAUAUUUUGAUGUCUUGUGUACUUUUUGAAACGAGAUUUUACGGGUUAUUACAUGAAAUCGAUAUUUACACUAUUUUUAUUUGUGUUGUUUGGACUAAACAUAUCUAGAUUAUAAUAAAAUUUUUAUGAUUUAGAUUU
Arachis duranensis is the source of this 660-nucleotide long non-coding RNA. RefSeq lists it as uncharacterized. Lineage: Eukaryota; Viridiplantae; Streptophyta; Magnoliopsida; Fabales; Fabaceae. The transcript is spliced from 2 exons. The record is from RefSeq and is a predicted model, not a curated record.